GACGAGCUCUCCAAACGUUAUUCGGUAUCACUGGGCUUAAAGAGUUCGUAGGCGGCUUGACAGGUGAGGUGUGAAAGCCCACGGCCUAACCGUGGAAUUGCGCUUCAAACCGUCGGGCUAGAGGGAUGCAGGGGUAUGCGGAACAGAUGGUGGAGCGGUGAAAUGCGUUGAUAUCAUCUGGAACACCGGUGGCGAAAGCGGCAUACUGGGCAUUUUCUGACGCUGAGGAACGAAAGCUAGGGUAGCGAACGGG
Molecule: ribosomal RNA, 253 nt
Filed under: uncultured bacterium
Lineage: Bacteria
Also listed under: 2 other names
Description: partial 16S ribosomal RNA
Rfam family: Bacterial small subunit ribosomal RNA
Source: RNAcentral